RNAcentral lists this ribosomal RNA (275 nucleotides) under uncultured bacterium. RNAcentral's name for it is "partial 16S ribosomal RNA". It matches the Rfam family "Bacterial small subunit ribosomal RNA", at positions 338 to 610 of the family's 1533-position model. The record is from RNAcentral.
CCUACGGGUGGCUGCAGUGAGGAAUAUUGGUCAAUGGACGCAAGUCUGAACCAGCCAUGCCGCGUGAAGGAUGAAGGCCUUCUGGGUUGUAAACUUCUUUUAUUGGGGAAGAAACCUCCGUUUUCUAAUGGAGCCGACGGUACCCAAGGAAUAAGCACCGGCUAACUCCGUGCCAGCAGCCGCGGUAAUACGGAGGGUGCAAGCGUUAUCCGGAUUCACUGGGUUUAAAGGGUGUGUAGGCGGGUUUUUAAGUCAGUGGUGAAAUCUCCGAGCUU